RNAcentral lists this ribosomal RNA (492 nucleotides) under uncultured bacterium. RNAcentral describes it as "partial 16S ribosomal RNA". It matches the Rfam family "Bacterial small subunit ribosomal RNA", at positions 29 to 507 of the family's 1533-position model. The record is from RNAcentral.
AGUGAACGCUGGCGGUAGGCCUAACACAUGCAAGUCGAACGGCAGCACAGUAAGAGCUUGCUCUUACGGGUGGCGAGUGGCGGACGGGUGAGGAAUACAUCGGAAUCUACUUUUUCGUGGGGGAGAACGUAGGGAAACUUACGCUAAUACCGCAUACGACCUACGGGUGAAAGCAGGGGAUCUUCGGACCUUGCGCGAUUGAAUGAGCCGAUGUCGGAUUAGCUAGUUGGCGGGGUAAAGGCCCACCAAGGCGACGAUCCGUAGCUGGUCUGAGAGGAUGAUCAGCCACACUGGAACUGAGACACGGUCCAGACUCCUACGGGAGGCAGCAGUGGGGAAUAUUGGACAAUGGGCGAAAGCCUGAUCCAGCCAUACCGCGUGGGUGAAGAAGGCCUUCGGGUUGUAAAGCCCUUUUGUUGGGAAAGAAAAGCAGCAGGUUAAUACCCCGCUGUUCUGACGGUACCAAAAGAAUAAGCACCGGCUAACUUCGUG